UAACAUUCCUUCUCAUGAUGAUCAAGCAGGUGAGGUAGCAGCAAAAGAGAAGUAUGCUGUGGAGAUAACAAGUAGGUGGAGGAGCCCCUGAAGUCUGUGUAGAUGUCCUUCACAACGCAUAUAUCUGCAACGCCUGGAUUCGAGGAAUAGAGCCUGCAUCUUUAUAGCCUUGUACCAACCAGAAUCAUGUGAAAACUCCUCCAAAGGCAGUUGAACUUCAAAUGUUCAGCAACAUGAGCUUGUAAGAUGCAUACACUACCUUCAUACACACUUGCAUAUCCAGGAGGAAGAAGAAAUAAUACCAAGAGGAAGUAUCACUAUUAGCAAUUGCCAUUGGUUCAUGAGAAGCAUAUCACUGUGAAUACAACACACUCUAGCUAAAGCAGAAACUUCUUAUAGCGCAACAAUGCAUACUUCCAAGGCAUGUUCUGGACAGAUGAGAACAGUGGUCUUCACGCUGCACCUUACUGAAAACCAAUACCAGUACUAUCGCCAAACAGAAAUGCACACAUAUACGAGGAGAAUAAAAACAGCCUUGAAUAACCAACAAUAGAAA
Long non-coding RNA from Papaver somniferum (opium poppy), 556 nucleotides. RefSeq lists it as uncharacterized. NCBI's taxonomy places the organism in Eukaryota, Viridiplantae, Streptophyta, Magnoliopsida, Ranunculales, Papaveraceae. The transcript is spliced from 2 exons. The record is from RefSeq and is a predicted model, not a curated record.